Molecule: ribosomal RNA, 253 nt
Filed under: uncultured bacterium
Lineage: Bacteria
Description: partial 16S ribosomal RNA
Rfam family: Bacterial small subunit ribosomal RNA
Source: RNAcentral
UACGUAGGCAGCAAGCGUUGUUCGGAGUUACUGGGCGUAAAGGGUGCGUAGGCGGUUGUUUAAGUUUGGUGUGAAAUCUCCCGGCUCAACUGGGAGGGUGCGCCGAAUACUGAGAGGCUAGAGUGUGGGAGAGGAAAGUGGAAUUCCUGGUGUAGCGGUGAAAUGCGUAGAUAUCAGGAGGAACACCGGUGGUGUAAACGGCUUUCUGGACCAUAACUGACGCUGAGGCACGAAAGCGUGGGUAGCAAACAGG